RNAcentral lists this ribosomal RNA (224 nucleotides) under uncultured Actinomycetales bacterium. Its description in RNAcentral is "partial 16S ribosomal RNA". It matches the Rfam family "Bacterial small subunit ribosomal RNA", at positions 109 to 334 of the family's 1533-position model. Lineage: Bacteria; Bacillati; Actinomycetota; Actinomycetes; Actinomycetales. The record is from RNAcentral.
AGUAACACGUGAGUAACCUGCCCACAACUUUGGGAUAACGCUAGGAAACUGGUGCUAAUACUGGAUAUGUGCUCCCGCUGCAUGGUGGGGGUUGGAAAGCUCCGGCGGUUGUGGAUGGACUCGCGGCCUAUCAGCUUGUUGGUGGGGUAGUGGCCUACCAAGGCGACGAUCCGUAGCUGGUCUGAGAGGAUGAUCAGCCACACUGGAACUGAGACACGGUCCAG